GUAGCGAUUUUCAAAGGAUAAACAUAUAAUAAGUCAUAUAUAAAGGUAUAUAUGCAAAAAAAAAAAUCCUAUUUGUGAGGAAGUGAUAUGAAGAAACAAGAUACAAACACAUAAACAAGAGAUGGAAUUUAUUUAUGAGGAAGCAACUUAUUGUUAACGUCAUUAUUAUUGUUCAAGAGUUCUACAGCAUGCAACUAUUAGUUACGAAUUUACACCAGAAAGGAUCCUCUGCCCAAAAAACAAAUACAUAAUUAAUAAGACGAAGAACAAACUCAGGAAAAUAAGAAGGGGAAUAUUAAGGGGGGAUGGCGUUGUUAUACGCAAUCCAAUGUACUUAUAAGAAGAAGUAGUAGUAGUAUAUUUGUGAGAUGGGAAAGGAUUUUUAUUUUAGAAUCAGGAGUCGGGGUAAUACACAAUCCAGUGUAAUUAACGUCAUGCUGGGGUACGAGCAGCAUAAGAGCAAUAAUAUCCAUCCAAUAGAAGCUCCAUUCCAAAAUGGUUAAAGCAUAAUUCAAAGUAUAUAUAUUUUGCUUGAAAUAAUUAGGUUGCAACAAAGAGAAUAACUUCGACCACAACUCGGCCAGAUCAUGUUGCUUAUACAGCUCGGUCCAAAGCAUUUGGUCAUUCUUGGACCAAGUGAAACAUCCAUGACAAUAUUAUUAGAAAUAAAUCACAGUAACUUAGGCAUCAAUAGGGAUGCCAAAGGAGCAAGGCAAGGACUUGAGGUGGUGCUUGGAAUCAGAAGCCGCAGAACUCGUUCUCAUUGGGCUGGCCAUCUAGCUGGAGUUGGUAGCAACCCUCGGUGCAGGCUCUGGCGCACUCCUCACGUGUGGCGCCUCUGAUCACCAUGCACUUAUCCCUCAUGCAGGGGCAGAAGCAGUCUUCCUUGUCCGCCGCAGCUGGGGCUGCCGACGCCGUGAGCACCAUCACCACGAUCGCCAGAGCAAGAACAGCCUUGUUUGGAGCCAUGGCUUCGUGUCUUUCUUUGAUUCUGGGACUCGGAAUGGUUUCUAGGGAGCGAAGCGAGGAGGGUGGUUGUGGAUGAGAAGCGAGGAGGAGGGAGGGGAGGAUUUAUAAGGAGGUUGUGGAGGGUGUCGUUGUCUUGCGAGCGGUUGGGAGUUUAAAACGCGGAUCGCUUGC
This 1140-nucleotide long non-coding RNA is filed under the name Phoenix dactylifera (date palm). RNAcentral's name for it is "long non-coding RNA (PDAC_LNC001938)". Lineage: Eukaryota; Viridiplantae; Streptophyta; Magnoliopsida; Arecales; Arecaceae. The record is from RNAcentral.